This 1043-nucleotide long non-coding RNA is filed under the name Apteryx owenii (little spotted kiwi). Its description in RNAcentral is "lncRNA (ENSAOWG00000001742.1)". Lineage: Eukaryota; Metazoa; Chordata; Aves; Apterygiformes; Apterygidae. The record is from RNAcentral.
CUGGGUCCCCCCCGGACACCUGGGCCCCUCCCGGAUGCCGGGCCCCCCCCCCCGGACGCCUGGGCCCUUCCCAGACACCUGGGUCCUUCCCAAAUACCUGGGUCCCCCCAGACUCCUGGACCCCUCCCGGACGCCUGGGCCCCUCCCUGGACACCUGGGUCCCCCCAGACACUUGGGCCCUUCCCGGACACCUGGGCCCUUCCUAGACACCUGGGUCCCCCCCGGACACCUGGGCCCCUUCCCGGACACUUGGGCCCCUCCCAGACACCUGGGCCCCUCCCGAACACCUGGGCUCCUCCUGGACGCCUGGGCCCCUUCCCAGACGCCUGGGUCCCUCUCGGACUCCUGGGCCCCUCCCCGGACACCUGGUUCCCCCCGGACGCCUGGGCCCUUCCCGGAUGCCUGGGUCCUUCCCGGACGCCUGGGCCCCUCCUGGACGCCUGGGUCCCUGCUGGACACCAGGGUCCCUUUUCCCGGACGCCUGGGCCCCUUUCUGGACUCCUGGGUCCUUCCCGGACACCUGGGCCCCUCCCGGACGCCUGGGCCCCGCACACAGAGGAGGCAGCAGCCAUCAGAGUCAUCAGAGUUUUAUUACGGCGGGGCCACGGUGGCCUCGCGCCUCGGGGAAUGUCCCCAGGCCCUCGUUGGGGACAAGGGGCCACCCCGGGGUGGGGGGGAGGCGCCCAGGGGUUGGGGACGCCCCGAGGUGCCCCCGGCCGGUGGCUCGGCUCGGGGACGUCGGGAACGAUGGGGCUCCGUCCCCCUGCGUCGGGGACGUGGCGGACGUCGAGCCGUGACGGGGCUCGGUCCCUCGAAUUGGGGACGUUGGGGACGUCGGGGCGCCGUGGGGCUCAGUCCCUCGAGUCGGGGACUUCGGGGGUGUUGGGGACACGGGGGACAUUGGGCCGGGAUGGGGCUCAGUCCCUUGAGUUGGGGACAGCGGGGAUGUUGGGGACAUCCGGCCAUGAUGCGUCUCAGUCUCCUGACUUGGGGACAUGGGGGACAUCGGGGACGUUGGGCCACGUUGGGGCUCAGUCCGUUGA